UACGUAGGGGGCAAGCGUUGUCCGGAUUUAUUGGGCGUAAAGAGCGUGUAGGCGGUCCGGUAAGUCCGCUGUGAAAGUCGGGGGCUCAACCCUCGGAUGCCGGUGGAUACUGUCGGGCUUGAGUACGGAAGAGGCGAGUGGAAUUCCUGGUGUAGCGGUGAAAUGCGCAGAUAUCAGGAGGAACACCAAUUGCGAAGGCAGCUCGCUGGGACGUUACUGACGCUGAGACGCGAAAGCGUGGGGAGCAAACAGG
Molecule: ribosomal RNA, 253 nt
Filed under: uncultured bacterium
Lineage: Bacteria
Description: partial 16S ribosomal RNA
Rfam family: Bacterial small subunit ribosomal RNA
Source: RNAcentral